CCGCAAUUUUAUCAAACCCUAUUAUUUUCAUUCUGAUGCAUUAAACUAAUUCAUAAUAUUAUUCUUUUCAUGCCAUAUUUCUCUUGUUUAUCCAGGACAUAUUUGCUGCUGGAACUGAUACCUCAGCAUCAACGUUGGAGUGGGCAAUGGCAGAAAUGAUGAAAAAUCCAAGAGUGAGGGAAAAGGCACAAGCUGUAAUAAGACAAGCAUUCAAAGGAAAGGAAACAAUACGUGAAACUGAUCUAGAAGAACUUAGUUACCUAAAGUCAGUGAUCAAAGAAACGUUAAGGUUACACCCUCCUUCUCAGUUGAUCCCUAGAGAAUGCAUCAAAUCAACCAACAUUGAUGGGUACGAAAUACCAAUAAAGAGUAAAGUCAUGAUAAACACAUGGGCAAUUGGAAGAGAUCCCCAAUAUUGGAGUGAUGCUGAGAGGUUUAUCCCAGAGAGAUUCGAUGGUAGUUAUAUCGAUUUCAAAGGGAAUAGCUAUGAGUAUAUACCUUUUGGGGCAGGAAGGAGAAUGUGUCCAGGCAUGACAUUUGGUUUGGCUAGCAUUACGCUUCCAUUGGCUUUAUUACUCUAUCACUUUAAUUGGGAACUCCCAAAUAAGAUGAAACCUGAAGAUUUGGAUAUGAAUGAACACUUUGGAAUGACAGUUGGCAGGAAAAACAAAUUGUGUUUGAUUCCCACCGUUUACCAAGCUACAUGAUACUUAUAUUUUUUAAUAGGCAAAAAAAGAUUUAAUAAAAGUACCAAUGUUACCAGUGAUAAUGUUUGUAGUACCUGUUGAUAUCUCUACCCUUUGCGGAGUCUUGUCUAAUGUAAUUUAUUGUUUGUUACUGAAUCUAUAAUAUAUAAUCCAAUAUUUUUAAAUUUGAAUUGAUGAGUAAAUUGAUGAAGACACUGGUUUAAGCUUUAAUGAUUCAAUACGUGUUGAAUCAUGUUGAAUUAAUUUUAUAUAUUUUAAUAUUAUAUAAUAUUUUAAGUAAUAAAAUAGUAAAAUUAGGGUCUGAAAAAUUAUAAAAUUUGUAUAAAUAAUUUAAUUAUAUGGUUCACAAGAUAAAGAUUAAUAACCGUUAACAAAAUAAUUGAUAAUUAUGUAAAAUAUUUAUGUAUUUUUAUUUAUAUUUAAAAUAUUUUAGAUUAAAUAAAAAACAAUUUACUUUUUAAAAAGACUGAUUCAAAAUCGAUUUUUCCUAAUUCUCACUAAUUCUAAAAUACUGCAGUUUUUGGAGUAUCCAAAGUGAUCACAAGUUUUCUCUAGUGGAUAAUACUUUUUAUGACAUCACAUCAUAUUUCUAUAUAUAUAUAUAUAAUAUAAAUUUAAACAAACCAACCCAAACUACUCGUAUCUAUUUAUUGUCUGAACACUCUUAUCACCUCCACACUAAUAAAUUUAAUAAUUUGCAAACUUUAAAUCAAACUUCACAUGAACUUGUUGAUUAAGAAUUUUAGUACUAGAUUCGAAAACUAUAAAUCAAUAAAUAUAAGAGUUUGAUUUUUAGGACUAAUUAAUACUAAACCAAAACACUUUAAGAAUUUUUUGUUUUCAAACUAACAAUCAUUUAGAUUCUCAAUUUAAUACAUAAUGUAUUUCUCAAAAAUUUAUUAUAAGAAUAAAUUUUAUAGUAAGUAUAAAACAAGUAAUCGAAUUAUGAUAACUGAUUCUUAUGAACCCAUACAUACUUUUUGUAAACUAGUGUAAAAUAAUACUUGAAUUAACAAUAUUUACGAAUAUAUUAAUAUGUUUGUCAUAAUACUAUACAAAAACAUGUAUAAACGAAAGUAAUAAAGAAUGAGCCAUGGGCAGCAAAAUGAGUUACAUUGAAAGAAAUUACUAUAACAGAGAGAGAAGAAAUGAGCAAGAACACAUGUUUCCGUGGAGCCGAAAAACCAUGAUCGAGAAUGACAAAGUUUAGUAUACAAUAAAUAUGCAAAUAUUGGUAACAGAAUAAAAACAGUACAUCCUUGCCUAUUUAUAAAAAAAAAAUACAAAUAAUUGGUCUUCAAAAGCAUAUCUUAACCGUGUCCUUAAAUGUUAACGAACUCUUUCAAAUUUUGCUACUUAUAGUACGCUUCUUCUAAAUUCGAAAGUAUCAGACUGACCAUUCGGUUUAUUAUUCAUAUAUAUAUAUAUAUAUAUAUAUAUAUAUAAUAUUGAAUCUACUAUACAUCUUUCCACACUCCUAUUUCUUUUAUAUAUCUUUCAAUCGAUUCCAUAUUUUCGACAUUGACAAAACAAAUUUUUAUUAUUGUAUUAUCAUUCUUAUUCGAAAGGUAAUUAAUCGAAUAUUUAACUGAGAAUUUUAUUCGAACGUCCCCAACAGAAUUAUAGAAAAUUAACAAUAAAUCCCCGUGGAUAAUUGGAUUUUAAUUUAAGUAUGUUAUCAAAUGUUGGAUCUGAUGUGUAUGGAGAAAAAAUUAUUGAGAGAAAUGAAACUUUAGUAAUUUCUACGUUUUGAAAAGAUUUAAUCUCCAACUAUCGAUUAAAGUUAUUUUUGGUGGUAAAAAAAAAUCCUUUCACACUGGAUCAGGCCAAGUUUGGUGUUCAAUCUUCUUUAGGAUUUAGAUUCCCUCCAUUACGCUAUAACUCUUGUCCAUCACAAAAAUCCCAACUCUGCCCCCGGCAAUAUAUCGUAGAAGUAUGGUCUUGAUAUGAUGUCACAUGGGAUUUGAAUAAAUAAGCCGCCUGAGGAAUACUCAGUCCAAGUCGUGCCUUAAAAAAAUUCCGUCUUAGUCGACCACGACAUGGUAGUUGAUAUUUUUCUGAAGAAUAAAAUAAAAAAUUUCAAUUUUGUCAAAAAAGUAAAAUAAAGUUGAUAUUGGCUGCUGCGUUUAUAUUUUCACAGUGACUUGGUUAAGCAAUUUAAGCAUUAGUGGAAAGCUGCAAUGAACAUGAGUCGAGAUAGCGAUGAAUAAUUAAAUUGUUGCCGUCUUGAUUGAAUUUCAAACCAGUUAAAUUAUUUGUUUUCAUGAUGAAGCGAACCUAAGACGUUGGUAUUUCGGACUGAGAAAAAUAUACUUAAACACUCAAAAUGCCAUUUAAUCCUUAGUAAGACACAAAAAAAAAAUUAUGACUAAUAUAACGUGACAAAGAAAAAAUGAGAUAGAAAAAUAAACCGUUUUCUACCCACAAUUACAAUAAUGUAUCAUCUUUAUAUAGAAUUUUAAUACAGUCAAUUGGUUAAGAAAAUUGACUUUUAGUAAAAAAAUUCUUUCAAUCAUAACUUCAAGAUUCAAAUUUUAAGUUCUUAUUCAAUAGAGUCAUGGAGUAUAUGGAAUUAUGGAGAACGUUAAACAUCAUGUUGAAAAGCGGUAGGUGCAUGUUGGGAGAAAGAAUUGAAUGAUGAUGGAAACACUACAAGCAAGGGCAGGAGUUGUGGAAAUUUGCUGUUAACUUUGUUGUCGUUUUUGCUGUCAACAAUUACUGUUAAUAGGGGCUUACUGUGACUAGCUCAUGUGCACAAUAGGGUGAGAGUGAAUUGGGGAAAAUUGAUAAGUGGCCAGGUUUAAUUUGUUUGUGGGAUACUGUUUUGGACUUAUUUUCUAAUUGCUUGGAAUUUUAUAUAUGUAUCUUGUCUAUUUAUUCCAAUUUGUACAACUUGUGUCAAAUUGAACUUAUCAAUAUUAUUCAAUUUUGUUUAUAAAAAAUAAAAAUAAAAGGAAAUAUAAUCAAUUGUCUACCUAAUUCUCGAGAGAAGCAAAGGUACACAAAAGAAAGAUAUUAAACGCCUAGAAGCUAGGGAAAGCAAUCAAAUUGGUUCACGUAUAUCUCUAGUCAAUAAAGAAGGCUCCAAUAAGUUAAAAUCAACAGUUUAACUUUACCUAUUGUAAAAAUAAAUAAAUGACUGUAUCCUAAAAGGCAUCAUAUGACAUUGCUAUAUAUAUAUACAUAUAUAUUAAAUUAGCACGAGUUAUGAAGAAGAAAAAAAUGUAUUGUCUUUAUAGGAGUUUAUAGAUGACUUCCAGAUAGCUUAAAUUUCUUUUUAAAAAAACUUUCCGGAAGGAAAAACAAACCCACGCAAUUCCAAGAAAACACGCGCCCACACAAGUUGAAAAUAUGUGCUGUAUUGACUUUAUAACAGAUGAACAAAAUAAAAGCUCAGGAUUUUUUUAAUAAGCACAAAUUGUGUGUGUGUUUUUUAUAAUUUAAGUGACGUUUUGUCAUUCUGUUAUAAUAUCAUGAACCAAUUUCUCACACUAUUAUGAUUUAAUUGAGACUAAAAUAGUGAUCCACUCAUGAUUAAAAUAAGAGUAAGACCGUUGUUCGCAUUAGGAUUUAAAUUUCUAUAAGAACUCAAAGGAUUCUCAGCAAACAAUGAACUCCUGAGACCAGUAGUUGAGUCUAGUUGUUUCCCUUAAAGCCAUGGAAUAUUCUCCAUUGUCCAUUGUUAUUACCUUCUUUGUGUUCUUGCUCUUGCAUUGGCUAGUUAAAACUUACAAGCAAAAAUCGAGUCACAAGUUGCCCCCUGGCCCAUGGAGGUUACCCAUCAUUGGUAACCUCCAUCAGCUAGCAUUAGCAGCUUCACUUCCUGAUCAAGCUCUCCAAAAACUUGUCCGCAAAUAUGGACCUCUCAUGCACCUCCAACUAGGUGAAAUUUCAACACUUGUUGUGUCCUCCCCCAAGAUGGCUAUGGAGAUGAUGAAAACCCAUGAUGUUCAUUUUGUGCAGAGGCCCCAACUUCUGGCUCCACAAUUUAUGGUCUAUGGGGCAACAGAUAUUGCUUUUGCUCCAUACGGUGAUUAUUGGAGGCAAAUCAGGAAAAUAUGUACCUUGGAGCUUCUAAGUGCCAAGAGGGUCCAAUCUUUCUCUCAUAUCAGACAAGAUGAGAACAAAAAACUCAUACAAUCAAUUCACUCAUCCGCAGGCUCACCAAUCGAUCUUAGUGGGAAACUUUUCUCUUUGUUGGGAACCACUGUUUCAAGGGCAGCGUUUGGAAAAGAAAAUGAUGACCAAGAUGAGUUUAUGUCUUUGGUCAGAAAAGCUAUAACAAUGACAGGAGGAUUUGAAGUGGAUGACAUGUUUCCUUCAUUGAAACCGUUGCAUUUACUGACCCGACAGAAGGCCAAAGUGGAGCAUGUUCACCAGCGGGCAGACAAAAUCUUAGAAGACAUUCUCAGAAAGCAUAUGGAAAAACGAACAAGAGUAAAAGAAGGCAACGGUAGUGAAGCGGAGCAAGAAGAUCUUGUUGAUGUUCUUUUGAGACUCAAAGAAAGUGGCAGCCUCGAGGUUCCAAUGACGAUGGAGAACAUCAAAGCUGUGAUAUGGGUUAGUAAAUAUUAUGCCAUAAAACUCAUUUUUUUCUUUUUUCUUUUUUUUUUUAAUUUUACCACAAAAAUGAAGGGUAGAACUAUUUACUCACCUUACUUGUUUUUCUGGAAAAGGAAGAAAAACAAAACACCACUUAUAUUAGAUCUUUUAAUAAAUUUUUUACUAGGUAAUUUUAUUUUAAAAUCAAAUAUUAGAAUAAAAGUUAUUAUGAUAUAUAAAAUAUUAGAUUAACUCAAUUUUUUUAUAUUUCAAAAUUAAAUACACACAAAAAUAACCCUUCAUUUUUUUAUUAUUAUUUAGAAGUUUAAAAAAUUUGAUAUUUACAAUCAAAGUAAUCAUGUAGAACAAUUAAGUUAGUUAAACAGAUUUUUUUUUUCGAAAAUUAAUGAGAAAAAAUUGAUAAAAACUUCACAUUAAUAUUAUGAUGAUAAAAAAUAAUAUGUAAUUCUAAUUUAAUGAUUAGAUCAAUAAUUACAAUCACAUUAUACAAAAUAGUUUAUCGCGUUGAUAGUGUAAUUAGCUAACCCGCGAUAUUAUCAAACCUUAUUAUUUUGGUUCUAAUCUAUUUAACUAAUUCAUCAUAUUUUUUCUCUCCAUGUGGAAAUAUUUAUUUUCUUUAUCUAGAACAUAUUUGCUGCUGGAACUGAUACCUCAGCAUCAACAUUGGAGUGGGCAAUGUCAGAAAUGAUGAAAAAUCCAAAAGUGAAGGAGAAGGCACAAGCUGAAUUAAGACAAAUAUUCAAAGGAAAGGAAAUAAUACGUGAAACUGAUCUAGAAGAACUUAGUUAC
This 6059-nucleotide long non-coding RNA is filed under the name Glycine max (soybean). RNAcentral's name for it is "long non-coding RNA (GMAX_LNC002402)". Lineage: Eukaryota; Viridiplantae; Streptophyta; Magnoliopsida; Fabales; Fabaceae. The record is from RNAcentral.